RNAcentral lists this ribosomal RNA (582 nucleotides) under Triticum aestivum (bread wheat). Its description in RNAcentral is "partial small subunit ribosomal RNA". Lineage: Eukaryota; Viridiplantae; Streptophyta; Magnoliopsida; Poales; Poaceae. The record is from RNAcentral.
UUGUGGCCCAUUGAUGCUCAUCGGAUCCUCGCGAUCCCUCUCCCACAAUAUGACAUGACGGAUUUUAUUGCUUGGAAUUACACUAAGAAUGGGAUCUUUUCUGUUCGCUCCGCCUAUGUCGUUGAGUGGAAUCACCAAUACGGAAGGAAACUUAGCCGAUCUAACGGAUUGGGACGAACAAAUUUUAACCCAAUUUGGCAUAAGAUCUCGAACUUAUCUUGCCCAGCAAAGGUUAAAAAAUUUAUUUGGAGGGCGUUGCAUGGCACUCUCCCGUGCCGUGUUACACUAGUCAAUAGACAUAUGAAAGUUUCGCCAAUUUGUCCUUCGUGUUCGUCUGGGCAAGAAGAUACGAAACAUUUGUUGUUCCAGUGCCAGAAAGCUAAGGAGGUGUGGAGAAGACUUGGUUUGGAUGAAGUUAUUUCUAGUGCUUGUGAAGUUGAUUAUGCUGGUGAGGCUGUCCUGGAAUUCUUAUUGCAAUUGCCAAACCAAGAUUUAGCUAUUUUGGGAACCCAGAAUACGCGUGAGAUGAUUGCCAUCAUGACGUCAUAUUUAUGGUGGGAAAGACGUAAACUUAUGCACUAG